UCAACAAUAGCUCAGUCAGUAAAUCAUCUGCCUGCAAUGCAGGAGACCCAGGUUUGAUUCCUGGGUUGGG
RNAcentral lists this transfer RNA (70 nucleotides) under Bos taurus (domestic cattle). It matches the Rfam family "tRNA". Rfam says of the family: Transfer RNA (tRNA) molecules are approximately 80 nucleotides in length. Lineage: Eukaryota; Metazoa; Chordata; Mammalia; Artiodactyla; Bovidae. The record is from Rfam by way of RNAcentral. RNAcentral also lists the same sequence under 4 other names.